GCCGGGAUGGCGGAAUUGGUAGACGCAGCGGACUCAAAAUCCGCCGGUCGCAAGGCCAUGGGGGUUCAACUCCCCCUCCCGGUACCA
Molecule: transfer RNA, 87 nt
Filed under: Desulfocurvibacter africanus
Lineage: Bacteria; Pseudomonadati; Thermodesulfobacteriota; Desulfovibrionia; Desulfovibrionales; Desulfovibrionaceae
Also listed under: 2 other names
Description: tRNA-Leu
Rfam family: tRNA
About the family: Transfer RNA (tRNA) molecules are approximately 80 nucleotides in length.
Source: RNAcentral